Molecule: antisense RNA, 69 nt
Filed under: Nonomuraea jiangxiensis
Lineage: Bacteria; Bacillati; Actinomycetota; Actinomycetes; Streptosporangiales; Streptosporangiaceae
Description: Nonomuraea sp. FXJ1.102 ASpks TB sRNA
Rfam family: ASpks TB sRNA
Source: Rfam by way of RNAcentral
CUUCACCGACCCCAGCCACAACGGCGAUGGCCGGUCCUGGCCGUAGGCGGCCAGCAAAGCCUGCGCCUC